ACCAACCAAUCACAACGCUGAA
This 22-nucleotide microRNA is filed under the name Spodoptera frugiperda (fall armyworm). Its description in RNAcentral is "sfr-miR-10492c-3p". The record is from miRBase by way of RNAcentral. Lineage: Eukaryota; Metazoa; Arthropoda; Insecta; Lepidoptera; Noctuidae.